CCUCCCUCUCCCUGCCUCCCUUCGCCUACCCCACGAACUACUUCAUCCCUCUGGGCCGGCACUGUAGAAGCCCCAUUGUUCACAUCGACCUCCCAAUUAUCUCCUCUUUCCCUCUCCCUCUGCUCCUGCCCAGACCAGCCCCCCAGCAUUGACCUGGAUGCCUGCCACAGCCUCCUCCCUGGUCUCCGGCCUCCCACCUCUGCUCCUCGGUCUCCUCUACCCAGCCAGUAACUGCAGAGAGCACUAAAGCACAGUCCUGGCAUCUCACCCCCUUAACCCUGGCCACGGCUUCCCAGUGCCUCCAAGAUAAAGCACCAACACCUGAGGACAGCAGCUUGUUUUGAGAGUCCCCUCCAUUGAAACACGCACAUCUAAUUUGUCCUUCAGUUCGCUGGACUCCACGCUGAACGUGCCA
This 415-nucleotide long non-coding RNA is filed under the name Homo sapiens (human). RNAcentral's name for it is "non-protein coding LINC00885:7". Lineage: Eukaryota; Metazoa; Chordata; Mammalia; Primates; Hominidae. The record is from RNAcentral.